UACGAGGGGAGCAAGCGUUGUUCGGAUUCACUGGGCGUAAAGGGUGCGUAGGUGGUUGGGUAAGUCUGAUGUGAAAUCUCCGGGCUCAACCCGGAAAUGGCAUUGGAUACUAUUCGGCUAGAGGUUUGGAGGGGGGACUGGAAUUCUCGGUGUAGCAGUGAAAUGCGUAGAUAUCGAGAGGAACACCAGUGGCGAAGGCGAGUCCCUGGACAACACCUGACACUGAGGCACGAAAGCUAGGGGAGCAAACAGG
RNAcentral lists this ribosomal RNA (253 nucleotides) under uncultured bacterium. RNAcentral describes it as "partial 16S ribosomal RNA". It matches the Rfam family "Bacterial small subunit ribosomal RNA", at positions 524 to 776 of the family's 1533-position model. The record is from RNAcentral.